RNAcentral lists this ribosomal RNA (519 nucleotides) under Salmonella enterica. RNAcentral's name for it is "partial 23S ribosomal RNA". Lineage: Bacteria; Pseudomonadati; Pseudomonadota; Gammaproteobacteria; Enterobacterales; Enterobacteriaceae. The record is from RNAcentral.
GGGGACACGUGGUAUCCUGUCUGAAUAUGGGGGGACCAUCCUCCAAGGCUAAAUACUCCUGACUGACCGAUAGUGAACCAGUACCGUGAGGGAAAGGCGAAAAGAACCCCGGCGAGGGGAGUGAAAAAGAACCUGAAACCGUGUACGUACAAGCAGUGGGAGCACAGGUUUACCUGUGUGACUGCGUACCUUUUGUAUAAUGGGUCAGCGACUUAUAUUCUGUAGCAAGGUUAACCGUAUAGGGGAGCCGSAGGGAAACCGAGUCUUAAYYGGGCGUUAAGUUGCAGGGUAUAGACCCGAAACCCGGUGAUCUAGCCAUGGGCAGGUUGAAGGUUGGGUAACACUAACUGGAGGACCGAACCGACUAAUGUUGAAAAAUUAGCGGAUGACCUGUGGCUGGGGGUGAAAGGCCAAUCAAACCGGGAGAUAGCUGGUUCUCCCCGAAAGCUAUUUAGGUAGCGCCUCGUGAAYUCAUCUCCGGGGGUAGAGCACUGUUUCGGCUAGGGGGCCAUCCCGGCU